GAUGAACGCUGGCGGCGUGCUUAACACAUGCAAGUCGAACGGAAAGGCCCAAGCUUGCUUGGGUACUCGAGUGGCGAACGGGUGAGUAACACGUGGGUGAUCUGCCCCGCACUUCGGGAUAAGCCUGGGAAACUGGGUCUAAUACCGGAUAGGACCACAUUUUGGAUGGUGUGGUGGAAAGUUUUUCGGUGUGGGAUGAGCUCGCGGCCUAUCAGCUUGUUGGUGGGGUAAUGGCCUACCAAGGCGUCGACGGGUAGCCGGCCUGAGAGGGUGUACGGCCACAUUGGGACUGAGAUACGGCCCAGACUCCUACGGGAGGCAGCAGUGGGGAAUAUUGCACAAUGGGCGCAAGCCUGAUGCAGCGACGCCGCGUGGGGGAUGACGGCCUUCGGGUUGUAAACUCCUUUCGCUAGGGACGAAGCGUUAUGUGACGGUACCUGGAGAAGAAGCACCGGCUAACUACGUG
This 466-nucleotide ribosomal RNA is filed under the name uncultured bacterium. RNAcentral's name for it is "partial 16S ribosomal RNA". It matches the Rfam family "Bacterial small subunit ribosomal RNA", at positions 28 to 507 of the family's 1533-position model. The record is from RNAcentral.